This 253-nucleotide ribosomal RNA is filed under the name uncultured bacterium. Its description in RNAcentral is "partial 16S ribosomal RNA". It matches the Rfam family "Bacterial small subunit ribosomal RNA", at positions 524 to 776 of the family's 1533-position model. The record is from RNAcentral.
UACGGAGGGUGCAAGCGUUAUCCGGAUUCACUGGGUUUAAAGGGUGCGUAGGCGGAUAGGUAAGUCCGUGGUGAAAUCCUGCAGCUUAACUGCAGAACUGUCAUGGAUACUAUUUAUCUUGAAUGUCGUGGAGGUUAGCAGAAUAUGUCAUGUAGCGGUGAAAUGCUUAGAUAUGACAUAGAAUACCCAUUGCGAAGGCAGCUAACUACGCGAUAAUUGACGCUGAUGCACGAAAGCGUGGGGAUCAAACAGG